This 253-nucleotide ribosomal RNA is filed under the name uncultured bacterium. RNAcentral's name for it is "partial 16S ribosomal RNA". It matches the Rfam family "Bacterial small subunit ribosomal RNA", at positions 524 to 776 of the family's 1533-position model. The record is from RNAcentral.
UACGUAGGGGGCAAGCGUUGUCCGGAUUUAUUGGGCGUAAAGAGCGUGUAGGCGGCCAUGUAGGUCCGUUGUGAAAACUCGAGGCUCAACCUCGAGACGCCGAUGGAAACCAUGUGGCUAGAGUCCGGAAGAGGAGAGUAGAAUUCCUGGUGUAGCGGUGAAAUGCGCAGAUAUCAGGAAGAACACCCGUGGCUAAGGCGGCUCUCUAGUACGGUACUGACGCUGAGACGCGAAAGCGUGGGGAGCGAACAGG